RNAcentral lists this ribosomal RNA (775 nucleotides) under Metabacillus indicus. RNAcentral describes it as "bacterial SSU rRNA". It matches the Rfam family "Bacterial small subunit ribosomal RNA", at positions 56 to 827 of the family's 1533-position model. Lineage: Bacteria; Bacillati; Bacillota; Bacilli; Caryophanales; Bacillaceae. The record is from RNAcentral.
UGCAGUCGAGCGGAUCUCUUCGGAGGUCAGCGGCGGACGGGUGAGUAACACGUGGGCAACCUGCCUGUAAGACUGGGAUAACUCCGGGAAACCGGAGCUAAUACCGGAUACUAUGUCAAACCGCAUGGUUUGACAUUCAAAGACGGUUUCGGCUGUCACUUACAGAUGGGCCCGCGGCGCAUUAGCUAGUUGGUGAGGUAAUGGCUCACCAAGGCGACGAUGCGUAGCCGACCUGAGAGGGUGAUCGGCCACACUGGGACUGAGACACGGCCCAGACUCCUACGGGAGGCAGCAGUAGGGAAUCUUCCGCAAUGGACGAAAGUCUGACGGAGCAACGCCGCGUGAGUGAUGAAGGUUUUCGGAUCGUAAAACUCUGUUGUCAGGGAAGAACAAGUGCCGGAGUAACUGCCGGCGCCUUGACGGUACCUGACCAGAAAGCCACGGCUAACUACGUGCCAGCAGCCGCGGUAAUACGUAGGUGGCAAGCGUUGUCCGGAAUUAUUGGGCGUAAAGCGCGCGCAGGCGGUUUCUUAAGUCUGAUGUGAAAGCCCCCGGCUCAACCGGGGAGGGUCAUUGGAAACUGGGAAACUUGAGUGCAGAAGAGGAGAGUGGAAUUCCACGUGUAGCGGUGAAAUGCGUAGAGAUGUGGAGGAACACCAGUGGCGAAGGCGACUCUCUGGUCUGUAACUGACGCUGAGGCGCGAAAGCGUGGGGAGCGAACAGGAUUAGAUACCCUGGUAGUCCACGCCGUACACGAUGAGUGCUAAGUGUUAGA